GUGACAUCCAGUCACCCAGUCUCCAUCCACACUGUCUGCAUCUGUAAGGAGACAGCGUCACCAUCACUUGCCGGGCGAGUCAGAGCAUUGGUAGUAAUUUAGACUGGUAUCAGCAGAAACCAGGGAAGGCCCCUAAGGGCCUGAUCUAUGCUGCAUCCAGUUUGCAAUCUGGGGCUCCUUCGCGGUUCGGUGGCAGUGGAUCUGGGACAGAUUUUACUCUCACCAUCAGAAUCCUGCAGCCUAAAGAUGUUGCAACUUAUUACUGUCAACA
RNAcentral lists this long non-coding RNA (271 nucleotides) under Homo sapiens (human). Its description in RNAcentral is "non-protein coding lnc-RPIA-8:1". Lineage: Eukaryota; Metazoa; Chordata; Mammalia; Primates; Hominidae. The record is from RNAcentral.